GCGGAAUGAGUGGAGCACGCACGGAGGAGGGAGCAAUGGUUAAUAAGCCCACGGUGAAUGGACCACAUGCUUCUCUUCUCCUUUGG
This 86-nucleotide long non-coding RNA is filed under the name Salvator merianae (Argentine black and white tegu). Its description in RNAcentral is "lncRNA (ENSSMRG00000014265.1)". Lineage: Eukaryota; Metazoa; Chordata; Lepidosauria; Squamata; Teiidae. The record is from RNAcentral.